AACAGGAUUAGAUACCCUGGUAGUCCACGCUGUAAACGAUGUCGAUUUGGAGGUUGUGCCCUUGAGGCGUGGCUUCCGGAGCUAACGCGUUAAAUCGACCGCCUGGGGAGUACGGCCGCAAGGUUAAAACUCAAAUGAAUUGACGGGGGCCCGCACAAGCGGUGGAGCAUGUGGUUUAAUUCGAUGCAACGCGAAGAACCUUACCUACUCUUGACAUCCAGAGAACUUAGCAGAGAUGCUUUGGUGCCUUCGGGAACUCUGAGACAGGUGCUGCAUGGCUGUCGUCAGCUCGUGUUGUGAAAUGUUGGGUUAAGUCCCGCAACGAGCGCAACCCUUAUCCUUUGUUGCCAGCGGUUCGGCCGGGAACUCAAAGGAGACUGCCAGUGAUAAACUGGAGGAAGGUGGGGAUGACGUCAAGUCAUCAUGGCCCUUACGAGUAGGGCUACACACGUGCUACAAUGGCGUAUACAAAGAGAAGCGACCUCGCGAGAGCAAGCGGACCUCAUAAAGUACGUCGUAGUCCGGAUUGGAGUCUGCAACUCGACUCCAUGAAGUCGGAAUCGCUAGUAAUCGUAGAUCAGAAUGCUACGGUGAAUACGUUCCCGGGCCUUGUACACACCGCCCGUCACACCAUGGGUGUGGGUUGCAAAAGAAGUAGGUAGCUUAACCUUCGGGAGGGCGCUUACCACUUUGUGAUUCAUGACUGGGGUGAAGUCGUAACAAGGUAACCGUAGGGGAACCUGCGGCUGGAUCACCUCCUU
RNAcentral lists this ribosomal RNA (761 nucleotides) under uncultured bacterium. RNAcentral describes it as "bacterial SSU rRNA". It matches the Rfam family "Bacterial small subunit ribosomal RNA", at positions 771 to 1532 of the family's 1533-position model. The record is from RNAcentral.